GCAUUAGUAGCUCAAUUUAGAGCGCCGGUCUUGUAAACCGGAAGCUGGAGGUUAAAAUCCACCCUACUGCU
Molecule: transfer RNA, 71 nt
Filed under: Canthidermis maculata (spotted oceanic triggerfish)
Lineage: Eukaryota; Metazoa; Chordata; Actinopteri; Tetraodontiformes; Balistidae
Also listed under: 1 other name
Description: tRNA-Thr
Rfam family: tRNA
About the family: Transfer RNA (tRNA) molecules are approximately 80 nucleotides in length. Their secondary structure includes four short double-helical elements and three loops (D, anti-codon, and T loops).
Source: RNAcentral